UACGCGCAGAACCGCCGGAGCGACCUGCACCACGCCAGGCAGACCGCGGGGGUUGUGGACUCACCGCGGUACCGCGCGGUAAGGGCAACGCGGCGCGAAGCUCAGCUUCGUUCUCAGCAUCCUUUCUCUGCUGCUGAGUAUGAUGGACGGUUCAACUUCAGCCGCUAUGGGCGGUAACGAGACCAAGACAGCCGCCACCGGUAACAACGACAGUAUUGAGUCGUGGUGGCCUUGUAGUGGAUGAAGGAGGCCGGCGACACCCUGUGCGGCGGGUUCGGGAAGUGGCAGUAGGGCGUGAUGAUGCGGGGGUUGUGUAGGUACCGGCUCGACACGCGCGAGGUGCCGACCGCGCGGGCGCGGAGGGGAGCGGCCCAGAAGCUGCGGCAGGAGAAGUUGUUGCUCGACCUGUAGGACCUCUAGGCGAUGGCGCUCGACGAGGGGAUGCAGGUGUUCGACCAGUAGGACCUCCGGUUGCGGUGGAAGUGGCCGUAGCGGUUCGGCGAGAGGAAGCGGCUCUUGGACCUCGCGAAACGCAAGCGCUCCAGGUUCUAGCAGAUGCUGUCCGAGGGGUAGCGGUGUGGCUCUGGCCCCAGAGCAGCGGCCCUUCUCGGUAAGCUGCACCUCCGGGCCGUGGCCGCGCGCGACUUGCGCGGCGACGCCGCCAGCCCGCAGCGCCCGCCCCUGCACCACUAGUACCGCCUGCGCCUGCUCUAGGGCUCGGGCCUCUGCCACGUCGACGACGCCACCACGCUGCCCCACGGCCGCCACUACGUGGACGUCGACCUCUUGAUGCAGAUGAGGAAGCUCAAGGGGCACCUGGUCCCUUCGACCUCCCGCUGCCGCGUGUAGAAGUCGCUCGCGUGCCGGGUGCGCCUGGCCCACGCCGCCGUCUCGAAGGAGCUGGGCCGCUCCUAGGUCGCCCAGCAGACGCGGCCGCGGCUCGACAAGCUGUACGAGGGGCUCCUCAUGUGGAAGUCCCUAGAGAAGUUCUUCUACCCCGGUUAUGGGUCCAGCCGCAGCCGGUACGUGGACGGAAGGAUAAACUAGUUCUUGCGUGCGUCCAAGUCGAAGAACGAAGGACCACCUACGAACUCUAGUCCAAUU
RNAcentral lists this ribosomal RNA (1104 nucleotides) under Triticum aestivum (bread wheat). RNAcentral describes it as "partial small subunit ribosomal RNA". Lineage: Eukaryota; Viridiplantae; Streptophyta; Magnoliopsida; Poales; Poaceae. The record is from RNAcentral.